This 243-nucleotide long non-coding RNA is filed under the name Nicotiana benthamiana. Its description in RNAcentral is "long non-coding RNA (NBEN_LNC031131)". The record is from RNAcentral. Lineage: Eukaryota; Viridiplantae; Streptophyta; Magnoliopsida; Solanales; Solanaceae.
AUUAGGAUAAACCAUAAGGAUAAAUAUCAUGUUCUAUAUGCAAGUUUUGAAUUACAUGCAAAGUUUGUUUUUCUGAAAACCUGCACUGUUUUGGUGUGAUUAUAUGUUAUGGGUAAUAUAGAUUAUUCUAAAAACUUGUAUCCUUUUAAUAUUGGUGAUUUUGAGUUAGAAUAAUCUGAAAGUUGAAUUUUAUCAUGUAAAACGGAAAAGCAUGUUUUGCCGAAUUAGGGCAGAAAAUCGGAG